UGGGGGAUCGUCUAGCGGUAGGACGCCGGCCUUUGGAGCCGCUACCUAGGUUCGAUUCCUAGUCCCCCAGCCA
This 73-nucleotide transfer RNA is filed under the name Nitrospira sp. RNAcentral's name for it is "tRNA-Gln". It matches the Rfam family "tRNA". From Rfam's summary of the family: Transfer RNA (tRNA) molecules are approximately 80 nucleotides in length. Their secondary structure includes four short double-helical elements and three loops (D, anti-codon, and T loops). Further hydrogen bonds mediate the characteristic L-shaped molecular structure. tRNAs have two regions of fundamental functional importance: the anti-codon, which is responsible for specific mRNA codon recognition, and the 3' end, to which the tRNAs corresponding amino acid is attached (by aminoacyl-tRNA synthetases). tRNAs cope with the degeneracy of the genetic code in two manners: having more than one tRNA (with a specific anti-codon) for a particular amino acid; and 'wobble' base-pairing, i.e. permitting non-standard base-pairing at the 3rd anti-codon position. Lineage: Bacteria; Pseudomonadati; Nitrospirota; Nitrospiria; Nitrospirales; Nitrospiraceae. The record is from RNAcentral.